Molecule: long non-coding RNA, 21817 nt
Filed under: Coffea arabica (coffee)
Lineage: Eukaryota; Viridiplantae; Streptophyta; Magnoliopsida; Gentianales; Rubiaceae
Description: long non-coding RNA (CARA_LNC000851)
Source: RNAcentral
ACUAUCGGAUGCAAGAAGUUGUUCUAAGCAGCACAAUAUAUAGUUUGUGCAUUGGUUUCUAAGGAUGGUGGUUUUUACCUUGAGUACAGCUUAAUUAUGUAGAGAGAAGCUUUAGAUGCUGCUAAACCAUCUUGAAGUAGGCAACACCCCCGUAACAGAACCUUUUUCUUUCCUUUUUUUUCCCUUUAAGCCUAGAGCCAGGGGGGAAGAGAGCAUGUACAGAAGAAACUCUGCCUUUCCAGGCUUUUGAGUAAAGAACUUCAGUCCAGAAUGGUCGGAGACAGUUGUGUUUUGUUCUCUCUCUGGUGCAAAAUAUACUGAGCGGCUUUAGGCGGCUGAAAUCUUGCUCGGAGACCGUAAAAUGUAAGCUUAGCUUCCUUGAUGGUACCAGAAUCCAUGUUUAAAUAUUCACAGUCCUAUAUGUAUAUACCAUACUUGCUGUGUACGAAGUCAAGGAUGGGGAAUUGGUGCUUCUAAUUUUAGCUUGACAUCAAAAUGUAAAAUAGCACAUUUAAUUCCAAAAUGGGGAUAAUUCCGGAUAUUAUAUUAUUCCAGCAAGCACACCUUAUCUUUACUGAAUUUAAUAUUUUUGUUUACGGCCACCCAAAAAAAAAAAAAAAAGAGAGUAGGAAAAGAAACGAUAGUUUUGUGUCUUUGUUAACAAAUCAUCCAAUGUACACUUGAUGAAAAGUAAUGUCCACAAUAGGAAGAGUUUAAGUAUUGAUCCAACAUGAGUAUAUGAAUUUUGACCUUAAAGUUUGCUAGUUUUGAUUUCUAGUUCACGCUCUUCUUACUUUGUGUUUUGAUGAUUAUUGAAUGCCAUUCAACAAGGCUCGAAAUAAAUAAAUACACCCUAGUACACUAGAUAACUAUAAAAUUCUACUUUUUUUUGUAUGUUAUUUGACAAGCAUAACGGUAUUUUAUUAUUGUUAGAUUGGUAAAAAAUUUAAAUUUAUUUGCUUAACACUAGUUAAAAAUUGAGUUUAAAUGUAUAAUUAUUUUUAAAUGAUUAUAAAUUGCACUAAUUAUUUUUGAAGGCAUCUAAUUGGAUAUCUAUUUAGACCUAUUCAAAAUUAAUGGGCGAGUUCCAGGGUGGAAAAGAAGUUAGGACGGGUUAACACAAUUGGUUAUGAUCUACACCUCUAAAUUAUUGAGUAAGGACCCGUAAAUCAUCAUUGGCUUUGGAUUCAAGCCAUGGGGGCAAACGGUAUCAUAUUGCAAUUCUGAGCACUAAAACAUUACUUACCGCACGAAACCCUGCUGAAACUGAGGGCUUUCUGUUUAAUAGCAGGGGACUGGAUGUGCUAAGCUGGGGUCCGGACUCAAGAGGCAAGUUCUCCACAAAAUCAGCUCACGAAAUGGAGUGUGAAUCGAUAUGGUGAGACGACAAAAGGGAUGAAAAAAAAGGUCCCGGAAGAUGAUUGUGCCUACUGUGGAUGGUUCGGCUUGGGAAAUUAGCAACGAAUGGGGAAAAGCGGAGGCGCCAUAUAGCCAGCAAGGAUGAGAAACGUCCAGUUUACCAGAGAGAGUACGAGGAUACACUGCAUGCAAUCAGAGAUUGUCCUUGGGUGAACAACUAUGAUGUUAGGGAGAACAAAUGGGAAAUGUUCAAGCGCCUACCGCUGGUUAGAUGGGUGGACUGAAAAUUAAAAAGGAAGAAUAAUGGAAUGCAUGGAGGAGUUUGUUUCUCCACCAGCUUAGCUAGUGGUUCAUCACGCAUAGACAACAAGGAAUUGCUUAAUGCGAUUGGAAGGGAGCAGAAACUGAGACUGCAACCAACUCGCUUCGAAAGGCAAAAUUGGCGCAUGAUGAACUUGUUAGAAUAUUUAUGUGGCCUACGUGACCACAUAUGAUAUUCAUGAAGAUAACUCCCGUUAAUUAGAAGGAUAAAUAACUAUAUGAAUAAAUAUGAAUAACUAAUUACAGAAUUCUAAUGAGAAUAGAUGACUGGAGGAAGUAGGGAGUCCCAUAUUCGUUGUAUGUGGACGCAUUAUAUGUGGUAUUUUUAUCUGAUAAUUACAGUGAUUAUUAAGCUGUAUCUUAUCAUAAUAAAGUAUCAUAUAUCUAAAGUAAUUAGAGUCUAUUACAAUUCUAUGAUGGGAGAGAUUGCGACUCUAUAAAUACUCUAGGACUCCUGGUCCCUCUCACCACUCUGACAUUCGUUAUUUUUACCCAUCACUACAAUAACAUAAUAGAGAGCCAGGCGAGGGAAGGCUAGACCGCAAAAGGUUAUAGUUUACAACCUUGGUGAUUGGAAGGCUUGCUGAAAGGGCUGUGAAAUUCUUCUCCAAAAUGUCUUCAAUAUCUCAAGGUGUGUUAAUCUAGAAUUUAUUUCUUAAUUAUAAUUUACAGACCAUACUAAAGAUCCUGCUCCUUGUGUCUAAAAGAACUCACAAAAAGGGAACAGCUGCAGAAGUAUGGACUGGAUUUACAUCAGUUGGGUUGGGAACCGCCACAACAGAUGGGUAAAGGUGAAAAGUAAACGGAGCAUCCGCGAACAAUCCAGGAGUUGCGGGUGCAGGGGGAUUAGUCAGAGACGAGAUGGGAAAUUGGAAGGGUGGUUUCUACUGUAAUUUGGGCAUUGCAAGCAACUCAGCAGCUGAGUUAUGGGCCAUUAUCCCUUGGUUGAAACUAGCCUGGCAGAAGAGUGUUGUCCUGAAAAAGACUCUGUAGCGAGCUUAUCCUUGAUAAAUGACAGUGGAAAGAGAAAAGUCCUUAUGCAAUUCUAAUCCACGGAGUAAGAGAGAAACAGGGAAUGCAGGUUGGAUGAUGCCUGGAGGGAGGGAAAUAACCGUGCAGAUGGUUUUCGGCUAAACUCAAUCCAAGCAGAGAUCCAUCCAGGCUCGUCUAUCCUUAAGGGACCCGAAACCUGCAUGUUUGCAGAUGUUGAAAUUGGGUUGCAUCCCCUCGUUUUGUCCCAUUGUAACAAGGUCAAUAGGCCUUCCAAUGGACCGCAAUAAAAAAAAAAGAAAGAAAGGGUUGCUGCAUCUACAUUGGUUCUGACGAACUCUGGUGGUGGAGUCGUCCAAUUUGCAUAUGCAUUUUCCUCGCAUUCUCGAACAGGUGAAACUAUUGCACUAUGGUCAAAAUUAUAUAUAACUCUGUAGCGUUUAAAAGACACCCUCCAUCCCCCAUAAUCAAGCCGAUGCUAUUAUUUUGAAAAACAAAAUUGAAGUUUUAAAAGUUUGUAGCUUUUAAAAUCAACGUAAUUCCUGCAUGUGUAAAUAUAUAUAUAUAUAUAUAUAUAUAUAUAUAUGUAUAUAUUAUAAUUAUACCCUUUUGCGCGUCCUUUUCUCCCAAUUCUUAGACAUAAAAUUUGAACCCCAAAUCUAUAGAUAUACCACUACUUCCUUUGAAAAAAUUAACAAUUCCACUUGAGUAGCCAUCCGAAGGUUUACCGGGCCUUUACAUUACAUCUUGUAAAAAGUGUGGGUUAAGGGGUAAUAUUGGACACAUAGUGGAUCAUAUUGUAAAAUUUCUUUUUCGGUCCUUGACAUUAACAAUAUCUUACUAUAGUCAAGUAAAAAAUUCGACAUAACAAAUUGGAUCAUUGACAUGUUAUCCGAUCUGGAUCGACAACAUAUUUCCAAUCAUUAUUAUUUUUACUCAAGAAAAUGAUGUAGAGAGUUAAUAUUUUGAGGAAGAAAAAAAAAAGAAUAAACAUGUUUUUAUUAUAUUAAAAAAAAAAGAUAUGUAUGCAUUAAGAUACACCUUCGUACCCUUACUAUGGAAAAUAACGAACAUAUCAAAACCAUACUUUAAUUUUGCUUCGUGUUACUUUUUGGGGAGCAAUGUCCGCGGACAUGGAAUCCAUACUGGAUUAACUAAAUCAAUUUUGAUCGUUCAAGUGGUGAAUAUGGACUUUUUCAAGAAUGAGGAGACUAGAAAUGAUAAUUUGCAGAAGUGAAGGACUAUAUGUGAAAUAUUUUCAAGUUAGUUUGAUUUCACUUGUAGCCCCCUUAGGCUUUUUAUCCCCCUAGAAGCCCUUGGCAUUCGUCCCUUCCGUGACUGGCUGAUUGUAUGAACAGGGACACUAACUGAUACAGAACCAAAAAAAAAAAUAUAUAUAUAUAUAUUUGUUUAUUUUUCCGCUCCUUUCUUCACGUCGAUUUCUAAUUGCUCCAAGUCAAAAAAAGUCGAACAAUCUGAACUUUAGGUCCAUUAGAUUCUCCGAUUUUGUCUUGAGUUCUCUUAGGUUAUAUUGUGUAAUAAGGAAGAAGAAGAGGGAAGAACACUGAAUCAAACGGUUCACAGAAACGGAGAUCUCAUAGUUAUUACUGUUCUUUUGCUGCUGACGGGGCCGAUCAAAAUCAAAUCUUUCUCUGGUUCAGGUCUGAUUCCAAUCCCAAUUCCACAUUUAGGCUUUUUCUUAUGGAUGAUAGAUUGAACUAAAAGUUUAUAGGCUUUAUGGGCUCUUUACCCUUUUUGCUGAUUGAUUAAAUUUACAGGCUAGUCAACAGUCGAAAUAUUUGCCUGCACUUACUGGAUUAUAUCAGUCGUUAUCGAACUUUCUAUUUUUUUCCGAAACCUUAUUGGCAGAUACGGUGCCUUUUUCUCUUUUUUAGUCUGUUGUUUUUUUCCUCAACUAAUAAUUGCUCAAUUGAGAUGAGGAAUCUUUUACGAGCUUUUCUUUUUUGUCAAACGAAAAUAAAGCCAAAAAAUGGAGAAUUUGAAUUAAUUUUAAUAGCAAAGGUGUAUGCAAGUGGGAGAAAUUGAAUCUUGGCUAAUGUUUUUAACUUUCACUAAAUUACCCACUUGAAUUUUUUUUUUUUUUGGGUUUCCUUUUGUUUUAUAGUCAUGAACCAGAUUAAUUGUUUGACAUUUUUAAAUUGAUUACUGAUUAACUUUCCAAUUCCUUUUGAACUAAAGCAUGCCAUUGACUUUGUUUUCUAAAGCUAUAAUGAAGCCAUUGACUUUGUAUGGCUUGCAGAUUUGUCAGUUUGCACGGUUUGAUGUGUAAACUGUUCAAUUUUGGAUCACUUAAUUGCUAAUGCAAUCGACUGAUGCAAAUGAAAAGGAGACGACUUUGAAACGUCGGAGAUCACUUUCUUUCGACAUGCCAGUAACUGAUCCAGCUACGGUACAGCCAUUAGAUGACUGCUUCGUUUUUGCUGUUGAAGAAAUUGUCCAAUACCCAUUGCCAGGUUUUGGAGCUCCAACAUUGGUUAGCUUCAGUCCUGAUGAUAGCUUGGUGGCAUACUUAUUUUGUCCUGAUCAAAGUUUGAACAGAAAUCUCUUUGUGUUUGAUCUGAAAAGCCGCAAGCAAGAAUUGUUUUUCAGUCCUCCAGAUGGUGGACUUGAUGAGAAUAACUUAUCUGCAGAAGAGAAGUUGAGGAGGGAGAGGUCAAGGGAACGUGGAUUGGGGGUAACUCGCUAUGAAUGGGUGAAGACAAGCUCGAAAAAGAAGGCUGUAUACCGGGCGUCUCCUUACCUCCAUGUUAUUUUCCUUUUGCAUAAAUAAGACCAUUCUCAUGGGUGAAUGCUGAAGCGAAAGCUACUCUUAUUUAUUUAUUUUUGGAAUGCUGAAGCAAAAGCUUCUCCUUUUUUAUUUUAUUUUUUGGUUUUUCUUUUCUCCAGUGGUAGGAUGUAUCGUUUUGUCAUUGAGGGACAUGACGAGAUUAACAAAGUUGCACUGGAGUGCUCUCUCCAAAUGCACAAAAAUGUGUUCGAAAAGAACCCCUUUUCCAGUCUUUUUGGAACUAUGCUGCCUUAAAAUUAUCUGUUUUCUUUGCUCUUCUUGACCUGGAAUUUUCUGUAGGAAUAAGAUGCCAAGGCAGUCUAACGAUUUUAAUUCUUUUUAAUAACUAUUCAGAUUAUUGACUUGCUAAAACUUGGGAACUAUCAUUUGCAUGGCUGCACUAUAUUUCCACUUGGUAUAGUAAAUAAUGGGUUUGCUUGGACACUGGUUUUUUUCCAAAAGUUUUUUGCUUACAUCAUCAAUAUAUUUUUCAAUCACCUUUUUAUCUUGCAUACAUCACAUCAAAAAGUGCUAUAGUAUUUUAAGAAAUUAUCCAAAAAAGUGCUACAGUAUUUGCUUGCAUAAAAAAAAUGCUUUCCAAUGGUUCAUUUACACAAGAAUCCAUUUCAUCUACUGACAUGGGCCUGUGCGCAUCUAACCUACUUCUGUUUGAUCCAUCGCAGAUAUAUAUCCAGGAUUUUCAUCUGCAGCCAGAGCUUAAGAUUCCAAGUGUAGCAUCUUCUCCAAUUAUUGAUCCACACAUCUCCCCAGAUGGACCAUGCUUGCAUAUGUCAGAGAUAGUGAGCUUCAUGUGUUAAACCUUUUAUACAACGAUUCAAAGCAGUUGACAUCCGGUGCUGAUGGAAUCAAUCUAGUAAGCAUAAAGUCCAAUAUUGUUGGUAUACUUGAGAUGGCCCCUAUGAUGAUAUAUAUGAUGUCUACAAAUUAGAGAGAUCAUUUUGACCAAUCAUAGUGUACAAAUAAGUGUAUUUUAGCAGUGCAGGUUGCCCACCAAUUGUGUUUGCAAUUUAUGACCUCUUGGAAUCGUGUUUUCAUCAUUUGAUCUUUUAGGCCAAAUUUGGCUCUCAUUUAAACUUGUUGGUCUAUUCUAAUGACAGUAAUCUGCCAACAACAACAAUUAAGUGUUAUUCCUUCAACGUUUUGUCUUAUUACGCCUGUAUUAUGGUCCAUUUGAUGGACCUUUUUUGUUGGACUGAAUUAUGUUUAAGAUGUAUGAAUAUGAUGAUCAUUUCUCGUUUGGGUUGUUUCAGAUGCAUGGUCUUGCAGAAUAUAUAGCACAGGUGAGAUAAUUCAUUCUCUUUAGAUUUUCUGAGAUUUUCAAUAGUUUAGUGCCCAUUAUGGGAGAAGAAAUAGGUUAAUGCACAGAGUUGAUUGGAACCAUCUUUCUGAUUCUAGGAGGAGAUGGAACGAAAGAAUGGUUACUGGUGGUCACUGGACAGCAAGUUCUUGGCAUUUACACAGGUUGAUUCAUCUGAGAUACCUCUUUUCAGAAUCAUGCACCAAGGUAGAAGUUCUGUUGGUUCAGACGCACAGGAGGACCAUGCUUACCCUUUUGCUGGGGGGCCCAAUGUCAAAGUGCGCAUUGGGGUGGUUUCUGUCGUUGGAGGUCCUGUGGUGUGGAUGGAUCUUCUCUGUGGAGAAAAGGUCGAAGCUGAUGGUGAUGAGGAAUAUUUAGCAAGAGUAAACUGGAUGCAUGGAAAUGUUCUUACUGCUCAGGUUUUGAGUAGAUCGCAUUCUAAGCUCAAAAUCCUCAGGUUUGACAUCAAAACAGGCUGUAGGAAAGUACUUGUGGAAGAAGAGCAUGAGACAUGGAUCACUCUGCAUGAUUGCUUCACCCUUUGGAUAAAGGACUCAAUAAAUACCAUGGGGGAUUUAUUUGGCGCGAGUGAGAAACAGGAUUUAGACACCUGUAUCUUCAUGACUCAAAUGGAGUUUGCUUGGGACCUAUAACUCAAGGAGAUUGGAUGGUUGAGCAAGUUGCUGGAGUAAAUGAGGCUGCUGGCCUCGUAUACUUUACAGGAACAUAGCUCUGUGAUGCACCAUGUGGAGAAAAUCAAGGGGAAGUUGCUGCUCGUGCAUGGUAUGAUUGAUGAAAAUGUGCAUUUUAGGCACACUGCAAGGCUUGUAAAUGCGUUGGUGGCUGCUGGUAAGCCUUAUGAGUUGUUGAUAUUUCCUGACGAGCGGCACAUGCCCCGCCGGCAUAGGGACCGUAUAUAUAUGGAAGAAAGGAUAUGGGAUUUCAUUGAGAGGAAUUUGUGAUGAAUGAACCAGUUGUGAUUCAUUGUUCCAGUUGGUUCUGUCCCUCAUCAGGUUGAGAAACUCUUGUAGUCUCAGUUUUCAUACUUUCAUCUCUUCCCGUUCUUUUUCCAUCCCCUUUUCGGGAUUCUCUGGCAAUAAAGGGAAAAAAUAAAGGGAAAAAAGGCCUUUUUUUCUUCUUUUGAUUCGCUGAACAAUUUUAGCUGUGUCCAAUACCCAGAACUUGUAAUUGAGCUUUGUAUUGGCUGCCAUGUACCAUACGUGCUCGUGUACAAAAUUUACGAGUAAACUCUGCAUUUGUUGAGAGACACCGGAAUAACAUUGCAGUUUAUUCUUUUCUUUUGUAUGAUUGUUUUUCUGCUAAUGUGUUUUGGCUAAUGCCAAUACAUUGGCCUGGGGCAUGUGGCUCACAGAACAUUUCAGCAAAUCAAGUUCAGAGGCAUAAAUAAAAUGUCGAACUAAGCACUGGUAUUUGCACUGCUGGUUACAAAUAGAUUUGUGUACUAGCAGACAAAUCACCUAAUCAGACUUUGUACUUUGAAAUAUAUGUGGAUAGGUCUCCGGAAAUCAAUGUCAAUUAAUAUCUCGUCUGGCUAAUGACUCUCCCCCAUUUCUUUUAAAAUAGUGGGCUAUUGCCUAGUGGAAAGAUUAUACCAUUCUUCUUGGCCAAGUUAAAACUCUAAGGGUGCGAUUGAUAAAAUAAAAAAUUGAAAAAUGAAAAAUGAAAUCAUUAAAUUAUUGAAUUGUAAGUAUUAAAUCUAAUACAUUUGAGUGUAUAUCACAUUUAGUGAUAAGUGAAUAGUUUAACACUUAAUUUUCGGAGCAAGUUUUGUCUAGAAAAUUCAAUACUACUUAAUUAAUUCAGAUGUUCAAUUUUUGGUUAUCAAACGGUCUGAAUAUGUUAAGAUCUGAAUCUAUUAAAUUUAAAUGCUGAAUUGGGUUAUCAAGUAGGGUUUAAAACUUAAUGGGACAAAUUUAGAAACCACAAAUUUUUGACAAUUUCUCUUAACACCCCUAAAAUUUUAAAAAUUAUGCAUACCUUCCUUGUCCAUUAAAAAUGAUAAUGCUAACCUUAAUAUUCAAAUAAAGCUCCCUUGUUUGCACUUCUUAUCCAUAAGAUGGGUUUCAUAUUCCCCUUCCCUCCCCCCUCCCCCCCCCCCCCUUAAACCUUCUUAUUCAUUUCUUUUUAUAUUUUAAAUUAAGGGUAGAAAUUGAGGCCCCAAAAACUAAAAUUGAUGCCCCCAAUUGAUUUUUGGUAUUUUAAAUUAAGGGUAGAGUUGAAAUUUCACAGUUCUCUGUUAAUAAGGAAGGUCUUUGUCCACUUCCUAUAUUAGUCCAAAAUACAAAGAAGGCUAUUUGGGUGUUUUUAAAUAAUAAGGGGGUUUUGUGACCUUUGAUAAAAUCACAAAAGGGUUUUCUGUAUUUUAUCAUUUCUUUUAUAAUUGUCCCAAAUUACUUUAUAAUGAUUUAGAAGAAUAAAUUAAACUUUUUAAAAUAAGAGCAACUUAAGAUAUUCAUUUAAGUUUUUAUCCUAUUUUAAGGUUUGAUUAUUAAAAUUGUCAAAUUAAGGGAGGUAAGUAUAAAUUUUAAAAAUUUGAGAGAGAGAUAAGUAAAAUUGUCAUAAACCACAAGGGAGAUUUUUGAAAUUAUCCCAAACUUGAUUGAGAAGCCUGGUAAGGGAUCUUUGGGAAAAAUAAUUCUUACCCAUGACGGAUGAAAGAGAAUAGACGAAGGACAAGCUUGCCGCCGGCACUAAAGGAAGGAGCGGAUGCUGGGAUCUACCAAAUCUGAAUUGCGCCUUGCCAUAAUAUAAAACUUUCCUUCUGUUCUUGAGACACAUAACUGAGCGGAAACGUGCUUUCUUUUGCCUUUGUUCCCAAGCAAUGAUACAGUUGCUACUCCUCUUAGAUCGAGGCUACAAUUGUGCAGUCAUUCCAAUUGCCAACUAAAAAUGCAAUUUCACUCCACCCAUAUUUACUAGGAGUAAUUCAAGUAUUGCAUUUUUCACAUCAGGACAUGUAUUUCAAAUGUAGUAUGUUCGAGCUCUCCACUACUAUUAAGUCCAAUAUAAAUUAUACAUCUUUGAUUGAUUCAUCAAAGAAAGUUAUGCAAAACAAGAUCUAAUGAUGACGUUUAUUUCAUCUUCUUUGGUUAUUUUUCUUUGUUCAACUUUAGGAAAGAAAUUGUUCUUGUCUCAUUUAAAAUUAAAAUAAAAUCGAAGAGAGAAGCGUUAAAAGGGGGAUAAUAUCAGAAACCUCCCUUGAGAUUUUUCUUAUUAUCAUUUGGCAUCAUUAAGGUUUUAAAUAUAUCACUUACUUCCCUUAUUUUUGUUAUUUGUGAAUUUUUUUUUUAACAAUCUAAAAUAUCCUUCUACUUGUUAAAUAAAAAUACACAUAAAUCACUUUGUUUAUUUCAAGAAAACUAUCAUUUAAAAAAAUAAUAUCUAAUAGUACUACCAAAUCAUAAUGCUAUAGUCCAUAAGAAUAUGGAUUUAAAAAAUAAAAAGGUAUUUGCAAAGAAAUACACUUGAUUAAUUUAACUGUAUAUGUUCAAAAUCGAUUUCUUAUAAACUUUAUAUUUUUUCCAACUUCUUCUUAAUCAUUGCCAAAACCUUUUAAAUUAUACUGAUCAUUAUAAAAGUCAACCUAAAAUAAACAAAGAAAUGACACUCCACUCUAUCACAAUUACAAAAAAGUUAAAAAUAAACAAAAUUUAAUUUAUUAUAAAUUACAAAUAAAAAAUCACAUAAUCAUCCCAAAAAUGAGGAAGACAAAAAAUUGGAGGAAAGAGAAAAAGAAGAAAGUGACAUUUUUUUCUUUUUUAUUUAAUUUUGAUCUCCAUUUAUUUGAUAUGUGAAUUAUAUAUUAAUUGAGGAUUAGUAUAGUCUUUUGCAAUUAUUAGGAGAGGUAAGUGAUUAUUUUUAAAACUUCAAGCGCGGAAAGUGAUAUUAGGAUAAAGCUCAAGGGAGGUCUCUGAUAUUAUCCCUUAAAGAAAACAAAAAAAUAAAAAGAGGAAGAACUUUUUUAAAAUUAUUUUUUAACCUCUUUUCAAAUCUAUGUAAAGUUCUAGAACAUGGUAGUAAGGUCUCCCGAUUCUUGCGGUGAAAGUGCUUACGUGUCAUCAUUUCCGUGGGGCCUCCAGCAACACUACGGCUACAUCUACGCAGCUGUGCUGGUAAAUCCAAAUUAGCCCCCAAUGCAAAUGGUAGUAAAAAUUUUCACUCAUCACACUCCCUGUCUGUGCCCCCGGUAAAAAAAUCUCCUCCUGCAAAGUGAGUGCAGUGCAAGAAACGGGGGGAAAAAAAUCCUCUUGAACCAAAAAAAAAAAAAAAAAAAAACGCAGGAGGUGAUCAUGGAUAUUGGAGAAGAAAAUAUUUUGGGUUUUGGAUAGAUCCUUCGAUAAUUUCCCUUCAAUUUUACUUACAAUUUGUUCUGCAAUUUGCCACGCUCUGCUUUGAACUUUCCUUUUGCCUCUUCCCGAUAAGAAGUUCAAAUUUUUUCCUAGCCUAUUAGACAUUGUUGAAGUCAAGAUGUACCACGUUUAACUUCGGUUGGUUUUUCUUGUUUAGACCAUAAUUGGUACUCGGGAAUCCUGAGAAGGCAAAAACUUUCUGCCUUCUUAGUGGAAAAAGCUUUUGCUUUUGGCGAUGGUGUAUCUUGCAGGUUGAGAAUGUGUUGAAGGGCGGUGCAAUUGAGUUUCAGGUCAUAGCACCACAAUAUUACAAAUCCUUGUGCUUUGUUUACUACUAUCGAUGUAAGGGUUCUGCCUCAUUUCCUUGUACUCAGUCCCUUCAGGCUAAAUUUUGGUUCUUGAUUUGUGACAGAAUAUUCUUGGGUUCUUGGUUCUGACGUGAUAAAUUGUUGUUUGUGGAUUGAUAGGUUUCUGGAAUUUUAACGUGUUGUAUGGUUUUGUCAAGUGGUUGACUAAUUAGGCAGUUGAAGAACCAAACUUCGUGAUUGUUGUGGUGGGCUCUUAAAAAAUUGAGAACUUUACCGCUUGAUAUACAGGGGAGGAUUAUCUAUUGGAGCAGCUGCAAUGUCGAUUGCCAGUGUGGCUCUUGCUCCUGUUUAUGAAGAUUAUUGGAACUUUCCUGGUCGUGUCUUGGGUAGAAAUGGGGCGUUUUCAAAUGAAUCCAUCGUAAUUUUCCUUGCAAUUGGAGGGUCUGUGAUUCCUAUGCAGGUAAUGGGGUCUGAUUCUAUUGCUUCUGUAAAGCUCAGGAUACAGAACCGUAAGGGAUUUUUUGUGAAGAAUCAAAAACUUGUCUUUGAUGGGAAAGAAUUAUCGCGGAAUAAUUCCCGUGUUCAGGACUAUGGGGUCACUGAUGGGAAUGUGUUGCAUUUGGUCCUUAGGCUAUCAGAUCUCCAGGCGAUUACUGUUAGAACUGUUUGUGGGAAAGAGUUUGAGUUCCAUGUUGGAAGAAAGAGAAAUGUGGGCUAUGUGAAACAGCAGAUUGCUAGAAGCGGGAAUGAAUUUCUCGAUCUCAAGGAUCGGGAGUUAGUAUGUGAUGGUGAGGAACUAGAAGAUCAGAGGCUCAUUGAUGAUAUUUGUAAGAGCAAUGAAGCAGUAAUACACUUGCUUGUCCGUAAGUCAGCAAAAGUUAGAGCUAAGCCUGUUGAAAAAGAUUUUGAAGUCUCGAUUGUUGCAUCAGAAGUUGAUAAGAGUAGGAGGGUUGACUCAGUAGAUGAGAGAAGUUCUGAGGAGGAAUCAUUAGUUGAGAAACUUCCAGUUGCUGCCAUAAAGCCUUUGGAGAAAGAAUUCUUUUUGGAACCACUAGUAGUCAAUCCAAAUAUUACGCUAUCAUCUGUGAUUAAGCAACUUGUUGAUGCCACUUACCAUGGACUGGAGAAGGGUAAUCCACCGAUUAUGUCGUCUGAGGGGUCAGGGGGUGUUUAUUUCAUGCAAGAUUCAUCUGGUCAGCAGUAUAUUUCUGUAUUUAAGCCAGUUGAUGAGGAACCCAUGGCUGUAAACAACCCUAGAGGGGUUCCCUUGUCCGUCAAUGGUGAAGGGUUGAAAAAAGGGACACGAGUUGGUGAAGGGGCUGUAAGGGAAGUUGCAGCAUACAUCUUGGAUCAUCCGAAGGGUGGACAAUGCUCGUAUCUUAAGAAUGAGAAAGGCUUUGCUGGCGUUCCCCCAACUGUGAUUGUCAAGUGUCAACAUGAAGCAUUCAAUUAUUCUGAGGGCUUUCACCCAUCCUAUAAGAAUACCAAGGUUGGAUCACUCCAAUUGUUCAUGGAGAACUGCGGCAGUUGUGAGGACAUGGGGCCCCGUAAUUUUCCUGUGGAUGAAGUACACAAGAUUUGUGUUCUGGAUAUUAGGUUAGCAAAUGCAGACAGGCAUGCUGGCAACAUCUUGGUUUGCAAAGAUUCGGGAGAAGGUCGGAUUAACCUCGUUCCAAUUGAUCAUGGCUACUGCUUGCCUGAAAAUGUAAGCACAUCGAACUUUCUACAUGACGACUUGAUAUAACUUAUUGUAACCAUUUGAAAUUUUAAGGACGCUAAAGGCAGGGGUUACAUUGGGUGCUUUGGGAGUUAAUUCACCUAGAAAGUGUCAUGUGUUCUGUACUAUCAUAAGCAUUUGAGGUUAAUGAUGGUGUCCCGAUGCCCGUGUUAAUUGGAAAUUAAAUCCGAGGCUACAUCCUGUUCCAACUUCCAAAACAUAUAAGUGUCAGAUUUUGAUGUUACACUCUGGUAACAAGUAGUUUCCUGAGAAAGGUGCCUAGUUUUUUUUGUGCAGAGAUACUUAAAGUCGGUAGCUUUAGGACAAAAGUUCAUUUGAAAGAAGUCUAGUAUAUUUUGCAUCGUACUUUUAUGGGUACGGCAACGACCAAUAGUGAGAUUUCCAUUCGUGAGGGUUUUAGAUUACCUUGAUCAUUGUCAUUGUUUUGAGGUUUAUUUCUUUCCCAUCCUGUGUUUCUUCUUUCUGAUUUGUAUUGUUCUUCCAUUGGUUUGCGUUUUUUCUUGUUGUUUCCUUGCUGCAGUUCAAAGACUGCACCUUUGAUUGGCUCAAUUGGCCUCAAGCACGCCAACCGUUUUCGCCAGAGAUAAUUGGCUACAUAAACUCGCUUGACGCUGAGAAAGACAUUGAGCUUUUGAGGCUGCAUGGAUGGGAACUUCCAUUUGAUUGCGCGCGCAUCCUUCGCAUCUCCACCAUGCUGCUGAAAAAAGGCGCAGAGAGAGGGCUUAAUGCAUUUCUAAUUGGAAGCAUCAUGUGCAGGGAAACACUGAAGAAGAAAUCGGCUCUUGAGCAAAUUGUCCGAGAAGCACAAGGAGCUGUGCUUCCUGGAAUGAGCGAAGCAGCAUUCCUCGAGUCGGUGUCAUUGAUCAUGGAUCGUUACCUUGAUGGCAUGUCUGCAAGUAAAUAUGUAGGUAGGUAGAAUGUACGUAGAUAGAACAUUGUGACUGGUCGAAUGGAGGACGGACGGCCAAGGAUGCUGCUUAAUCUCUCUGUUCAUCCAUGGUAGUCCUACAUCGCGACCCUAUAACUUUGUUGCGCUUAACUCCGCUCUGUUUAUCCCAUAUCCCCACCCCUGAUGUCCUGGAACUUGUUGCCAUAUCCUGCGCUCCUCUUUUGAGCAUUAUGACUGUUGAAACUGAGAAUUGAAAGCAUCACUUUCCUUGUAAAAGUCUCGUCAAAUUUUUGUUCUUUCAAGUGCCGUUGUUUUCUCUGAUUGAGAGGAGUCCACCAAUUUAGCUGGUAUUUGUUGGUCACGAAGGAAUCUAAUUACCAUGAAGAAUAAUCCCCCCAUUUGAAUUUUCAAAAUUUUUUGGGUUUUUUUUUAAUGGGUGUUUUAUAAGUAUUUGUCAACACAUCUACAUUUUAGUCAACUUAUCAUGUAUAUAAGUACACUAAUAAUUAAUCCUCUUAUAUUUAUAUGAUUUUUUUAAUUAAUUUUAUAUUUUUAAAAGUCUAACGCUUGAAAUACAUUCUAGCAGUGUUUAUAGGACUCUGAUUAGAUAGUUUUUUUUUUUUUACACCAAUUCUUUCUUCUGCGGAUCUAAGUCACUCUUAACAAAAAUGAAAAAAAAAAAUAUAUAUAUAUAUAUAUAUAUUUCCUCCGUUACGACAAAGCCAAAUGAGCCCCUGCAUGAAUGAUCCAGCGGUAGCGCCUCUCACCGGUGAUCCUUAGGUCUCAAGUUCGAGUUUUCGCUCCGCUGGAUUCCUCCGCGCACUUAUCACGUUCGGGUCUAGUUGGGACGUCGGAUCCGGAUCGCAGAAAAUUAAUAGGACUCCGUAAGGAUUGACCCGAACGCCCCUGUGUAAACGAGACUUCGCAUAAACUUGGAGGGGAAAAAGCCUUUGUGAGAACGGAUUUUCUGGUAAAUGCCCUUUCAUUUUGCAGCCCAAAAUCACCGUUAGCUUUAUGCAUUAAUUCGAGUGGAAAUGGCUGUUUCAAAUCGGACCAGACAGACACAGACAUGCGCGCUUUUACCCAUAAACCAAAAUUGAUUUGUGGUUAUAUCACUCAUUUUUCAACUGAAGUUGACGUAAUUGUCGGAUCGGAUGAGCCUUGUCACAAAAAAAAGGUCGAGUCCGAGAGAGAGAGAACAUUUUGGGCGCGGCGCACUUUUAAUUUCAACCAGGACUCGCCCACCUAUAAUUGGUUUUAAGCAUUUACUUUUUGGGAUCCCUUGCCACCGACACAGGCAUCAGCAUCAGCACUACUGUUUCUAAGUCAGCAUCACCCAACCCCCCGCCCCCCCCCCCGGGGGAUCUCUUCUGCCUCUUGGAAGAGAGAAUCCAAGGCAGCCAUUUUUUUUUUUAGUGAAAAUUAUAUUUUUUUUCAUGAACAUAUUUUUUUAUUAUUUUUUUUAUAUACAUCAAAUUAUUACAGUAAUUUUUUUAUCAAAAAAAAUUCUAAAAAAUACAAUCUAAACACAAUUUUAAUAUAUAAUAAUAUAAUAUAAUACAGCGGUAUCAGUAGCUGUCAUGAAAAUUACACAGCUGAAUGAAUGAAUCCCCUUUUUGCUCUUGCAAUCUUUUUGCAUUUAUUUUUUCACACUUAGUGGGGUUUUGAGAAUUACAUUCAGUACCAGUAUAUAAUAAGUAACAUUACAGGGCAAAUGAUAAAUAAAUUUUGAACAGUUAUUUUAAUUAAUUUAACCUAAAACCUAUCCAUCUUGAGCCAUACAGAACUCGAUUUACUUUAUUAGUCAUAAUAUGCAUAACGGGAAAAAAAAAAAAAAAAAGUAGAGUGGGUAGGGAACCGACCACAUAAAAUAUAUAGGAAGACGCCACGAUCCUUCCAAUGAACGGACGAGGGUUUGGAGUAAAAACGUACAGUAACUGGCAUCCUCUUUUAAGUUGAUAGGCCGGCCAUAAAAGCAACACCGGUUGAGGGUAGCCACGACGAUCCAAAGAUGAACUGUGCAACUGUGAACUUGCUGGCCUCCGCCGGCGUCGUGAUCACUCGAUAGCCCGGCCACUUUACUCGCUGUCCAAGGGCUGCUCCCGGUCCGUAGUUCAUGUACUCGCCAUAGUACAGAGUGUCGAGAGCGAACGUUGCGUUCCAUUCCAGAAAUCCCCUCGGGUGAAUAUGGUCGCCCAUGUAGGAUAGCAUGAAGACCGUUCGCGAGUACAGUUUCCACGGGCGGCCUAGGUACGUCUGGAAGCUGCCUUUUGAUGCCUCAAGAUCAGGCGUCGCCAGGAUUCUGCAUGCAUGAACAGAAAUCCCGGUGUUUUGAUUAGGGUCUUUUCUGUUUUGGGCAGUGACGGUGUUUUUCUGGAGGUUCAUCGGCUUGCGAGCGUUUAGAGUGCAGUUCUGGAACACAACCGCAGCAUUACCGAAUAUGAAGUCCACCGUCCCAUAGACGUCGCAUUCUCGGAAAAAUUGACGCUGUGAGUGGACGUAGAGGGUGUCUUGGUAGCCGACGAUGCUGCAGCGGUAGACCACAGCAUGAUCGGCGCCCACUCGAAGAGCUACAGCCUGAUGCUUACUUGGACCAGCCCAGUUCUCAAAGGUCAUGUCUCUUGCAAUAAAGCCAGCGCCAGUAGCCGCUGUGCGCAGCAGCAGACAAAGACAGAUAGAUAGAGAGUAAAUAAAAAAAUUGCAUUGCACAUUUGCACUAGAAGUUAAGUUGGAACUUCCUCCUUGGAAGCAGGACAAGGAAGAGAGCUGUACGGGGGGUGGAAAAUAAUUGGAAUCUUUUACCAAAACUGAAGUACGUGGGUAGGACAAGAAGAGAGUACGCAUAAGAACUACUUUGCUUGAAUAUCUAUCGACUCUAUAGUCUAUACUACACAAUUCAAUGAUCCAAAAACGCGUAAGUUGACGAUUGAUGUCCACAACCAGCAUGCGUGUUACUAGUAUGACAGUAUGGGAUAUGCCCCACAACUCCCAUAAUAAUAUAAUAUUAUGUUGAGGCCACCAACAUCACUAUCCUCAUAGUAUUCUACUAGUACCAGACAAGUGUGCAGUAAUUCCAAGUAGACGACGUUGAAGAUGGGAAAGGCAGCUUUUUCAAAAUUUAACAUAUCGUACUGUCCAGCCAGCAUGGGAAAGUUCCAAGUUUUCAAGCGUCCACAAAAAAAAAAAAAAAAUAGAAGAACAUUUACUUUUAGCUGAAAAUGUUGAGACGCUACUAACAUUUAAUUUAAUUGUUGUAUCCUCUUAUUCAAUCUGUUUGGAUUGUAAGUUAUUUGGGAUUAUUUGGGAUAUUUUUACUGUAACAUUUUUUGUGAUAUGAUGUAUGUGAGAUAAAAAGAUAUUAGAAACAUAAAAAGAUGUAUUGAAAAUUGUAAAAAUGAUGUAAGCAAAUAAAAUUGAGGAGAGAAAAUAUGAAGCAAUCCAAACAAACCUAAUAAUGUAUACCAUCUAAGCAUAUGGAUGGGUAGUAGUGACCAAACAAGGGUCAAGGUGUUGACUACAAAUCUUUCGUCAUACAAUGCAUGAGCUAAGCUAUAAACAAGUGUAAACGGUAUCGGCCCGAUUCUAUGGGCAAAAGCCACACAAACAAAAAAGUUAAAAAAGCGACCUUAAAUUGAAAAAAAAAAAAAAAAGAAAAAAGAAAGAGAGAGAGGACACGUGCAUCGUUUCCUUCUUCUUCCACAACACUCAUUUGGCACAUCGGUGGUAUCUGAUGCCCCCUUUUUUGUUUUCCGCCACACACAAAAGUUUGAUUCUAAGCUACUGCUACUAAGUACUAACUAAAUAAGCGCUUCAAAUUUCUGCCCUCAAUGUGUGUGUGUGUAUGUAUAUAUAUAUAUAUAUAUAUAUAUAUAUAUGUGUGUGUGUGUGUGUAUAUAUAAAGUAAAGCAAGCCAAAGACGCCUUUUACUACGUACUAAUUACCACAGCUUAAGAGAAAAAAUAAUAAUAAUUGAAAGAACACAAAAGGCCGUUGGUUUUUACAUACCGAAAGACGCGGUGUGGAAUGUGGUGACUUUGUCGAAAAUGCUCUUUCCGCCUGAAAUCACCGUCUUGCCUUUUCCAUCCCCGAUGAACAUCAAAUUCGUCUUCUUCCUUCCAACUUUCAAAUUAUCCUCCUCGUACCUGAAAGAUGACAAAUGUUGAACAAUUAAUUAAUAUGACUGUCGGUGGUGGUGUCAUAUUAAUUAAUCUCACAAACGUAUACAAUUAAUUAAUAUUAAAUAUUAAAUCUUGUCGGUGGUGGUGUCACAAUUUCCCGCCACUCUUUGCAGCAAAUGAUGAUUCAUUGAACACAAAAAUUUUUUUUUUUUUUUUUUUAAAAAAAAGAGAGUAAUAGAGCACUAUUCAGCGUGUGACGGUGCCAGCAACAAAUAGCCAAUUGAUGGCAACCAUAGUAGUCAUUAAUCACCAAAGAGAAAAAAAAGGCAGCAACUAUAAAGUGGGUGAAAAGGUCACACUACUUGCUGAAAAAAGAAAAAAAAGAAAGAAAAGGGCAUUUGUGAGAGUAGAUCUCAUCCCACGUGAAGGUGAAACUUGAAAGUGAACGAACUUACUUUCCUGCCUUGACGUAGAUAAUGAUCCGGCGAGUGCUGUGCUCUGGCGCCUUCUUGAUCGCCUCCCCCACUGUUUUCACCGUUCCGUUCCCGUCUUUCGACACUAUUAUAUCCGCUUGAAUCGACGUCGCCGGCACCUGCAACAACCUUCGGUCCUUCCUCGGUAACCAUUUCGGAAACUCCUCCUCCUGCUGUUUAUGGUUACCACCAUAACCUUCCUCAUCAUCGCCCAUCAACCUCCGACGCCUGUUCCCUAUCGGAAUCCCUGAGAAAUCAUCACCGUCUCCCCCCGCCGCCGAGUAUAUCGCCAGGCAGUUGCUCACCAGUUCCGUCAGGUCCUUCAGCUUCUCCGACACCUGAUCCUUCACGCUCCCGCCUCCGACUUCCCCAAAGCCCUCCGUGCACGUGUCCUGGUUGGUCAGAGCGGCGCUCAGCCACGUCAGCACGUCCUGUGUGGACCCCACGUAGGAGGAUGAGGAUGAGGAUGAGGAGCCUGAGCCGUCCCCUUCUCCUUCGGUCGAGGCGGGUGACAUGGUGGUGAGGGAGCGGGCGAGCAGGUCGACGGAGUCCGCCAAGAGCUCCAGGCAGUCGUCGUAGGCGGAGCGGGAGCCCACGUCCAUGGCCACGUAGCCGAUGUCGGAGACGUCGUAGAGCGCCUUCCCCAAGCGCUGGAGCGUCAUGUUGACGGUAAUGUGGACGAGGUCCUUGUCGGAGGCGGUGAGCGCGCCGGGGAAGUCGAGGAGGGAGUCGACGCAGAGAGCCGGGUAGCGGGUUUUGCUGCAGGUGCGAGAGAUGGCUCUGGAAGGCUUGCGGUGGAGGGCGGCAUCGCUGGAGGCUUUGUUUCGGAGGGCGACAACCACCGCCGCCGAAAUGGCUGAGGCCACGAUGAGAAUGGCGGCCAGUAUGAUGAGGGGCUUGAGUUUGCUUUUCCGGGGAGUGGAAGUGGUGGGUUGGUCCGAGGGGUCGGGAAGCAUUUGGCGGCUGGAGGAGCCUCCGGGCUCCGAAACGAGCCUGCCGUAGCCCAUGCCUGCUUUUUGCUCGUACUACAAUUUUGGCUGCUGAUUAUAUAAACACCAAUUAUUAAGUCACUCACUCAAAGAUGCAGAACUCUUGGAUAGCAAAAUGCAAAUUAUGCGAUGGGUUGGAGGCGAAAUGAAUGGAAUGUAUUCAAGUGGAAGGAAAAAAAGCCGCUAUUAAGACUCGGGACUUGAGAGAGGCGUGGGGGGAGAUAACUGAGAGUAAGAGGGUGGCAGGCUUUAUAUAUUUUCCCGCAUCCCAGCUUGGGCGGUUGGAUAUAGUAGUAUUUUGUCAAGUACUAGCAUACUACUAUUAAUUAUCGUAAUCCCUAUACAUACUUAUGCUGAGAGUCAGUGCGGGUUCUUCUGUGUGGGUGUGCGCGCGCGAGAGAGAGAGAGAGAGAGAGAGAGAGUUUGGUGUGAGGUCGAUGUCGAGGGGGGCAUUAGCUGGCUUCUACUUCCUCCGCCACACUGCUGCCUUGCCCGCUCGCUUAUUAGUUAUUACAGUGGAGAGUGGGAUGUGGAUUGAGAAGGAAAGGAGAGGUCUGAGGGGGACGUGUUGUUAUUGGCUUGCUUGUUCUGUGCUUUUUUCUGCUUUCUUCAAAACUUUUUCAUAUUAUUAUUGACUCUGCUGUUGUUUUCGUUUCCUUUGUUAGCAGGGAGUAUGCAUCAUAUUAUUAUUAUUAUUUUACUGUCGUCCGAAUGAAAAAAAAUACAGAAAGAAAGAGCAGUAUGUAAUGUCGGAAGGAAGAAAGAAUGAAUUGUUAACUAACGUAUUGGUUUAUUCCUCUACCCUAACCCUUGACUCUCUUGGCCCCUCAACUUUAGGCCUGAGGUUUCAUUCCUUUUUCUCACCGUCCCACCGAGAGAAUAGAAUAUUUUCUUUGCUACUGUAAAGUAAAGCUAUUUUAAAAUACGAUACUCCUCUUCCCGUAGUUUAAACUGGCCUUGUCCUUGCUGCCAAUCCAAACACACCCAGUGGGUAGAUCGAAAUGUAGCUCGCGUAGCGUUGUCACAAGGGUCGAAAAGGGCCAAAAAAAAAAAUGGGAGAAAGUGAUGAAUUAUGGUGUCUACCCUUUUUAGUGCCAAACUAAGGUCUUGUUUGGGGGAGAAAGUGAUGAAUUAUGGUGUCUACCUUUUUGAGUGCCAAUCUAAGGUCUUGUUUGACAAGUAAGUUUUUGGCUAUAUUUGUCCGCUACUCCCUCCGUUCCACCUUGAUAGUCCUGUUUCUUUUUUCACACAGUUUAAGAAAAAGUAGUUAACUUUGUUGGAAAAGUAAAUUUAGAUUAUUAUUUUCCUAAAAUAUCCUCGCAUUAAAUAUGGUACAACUUUAUGGGAACUUGAAUUGAUGGUAAAAAAAGAAUCAACUCUCAUUAAAUGGGGUAAGUUUAUAGUAACAACUACUUACAUUGAAUAGGGGCAUUUUAAGAAAAUUAAAAUACAACUACAUUUUUCAAUUGGAAAGUGGACUAUAAUUUGGGACAAAUAAAAAAGGAAUACAGGACUAUCAAAGUGGGACGGAAGAGAGUACAAGUUUUUUUUAACAAAUUUAGCUACAAUAACCUCAAAAAAAAUUUCAAAGUUUUUAAACUAUACAUUUUAAAAUAUCAAAAAAUUUACACAUUUUAAAAAAUUUUUAGAUAAACAUCCAAAAAACUCAAUUGCCAAAUAGGGCCUAAAUUAGGGUGCAUGUGCGGCUUAAAUGUUGGAAUCUGCAGGCAAUCCAGUUCCAUAAACUAAAGCAAAUUGUUGGAAUUUUGGACUAAACAAGAGAGUGUGUUGCAUUAACGGAGGCGGGAAAGAGAAAAUCAAUUUUGGCUAGAAUUUGUACAUAGAUAUCCAUCGUUCUCAGACAAAGAGCAGAUGAAUUUCAAAAUCUCGGGCCCAGUUUCACAAUAGUCAAAUUCUAGGAAAUCGCAUGCACUUCAUCAAGUCAUGCACUUGAUUUUUCAUCAGUUGGGGAUGAUAGAGAAAGGAAGAAACGGAAUUAAGGAAGCAAUCAAUAUACAAGCAAAUCUCGGACUCCUUUAUUCCUUUAUAGCAUGAAAUUUGAUUGAUUACCCACUGUAGUAUAUGGUUUACGAAUGGGAUUUGAUUACUCUAAUGCCAAUUAGAUGUAACACUUUAAGUACUUCACUUUGAUACCA